GAUGAACGCUGGCGGCGUGCCUAAUACAUGCAAGUCGAGCGAACGGACGAGAAGCUUGCUUCUCUGAUGUUAGCGGCGGACGGGUGAGUAACACGUGGAUAACCUACCUAUAAGACUGGGAUAACUUCGGGAAACCGGAGCUAAUACCGGAUAAUAUUUUGAACCGCAUGGUUCAAAAGUGAAAGACGGUCUUGCUGUCACUUAUAGAUGGAUCCGCGCUGCAUUAGCUAGUUGGUAAGGUAACGGCUUACCAAGGCAACGAUGCAUAGCCGACCUGAGAGGGUGAUCGGCCACAAUAGAACUGAGACACGGUCCAGACUCCUACGGGAGGCAGCAGUAGGGAAUCUUCCGCAAUGGGCGAAAGCCUGACGGAGCAACGCCGCGUGAGUGAUGAAGGUCUUCGGAUCGUAAAACUCUGUUAUUAGGGAAGAACAUAUGUGUAAGUAACUGUGCACAUCUUGACGGUACCUAAUCAGAAAGCCACGGCUAACUACGUG
This 497-nucleotide ribosomal RNA is filed under the name uncultured bacterium. Its description in RNAcentral is "partial 16S ribosomal RNA". It matches the Rfam family "Bacterial small subunit ribosomal RNA", at positions 28 to 507 of the family's 1533-position model. The record is from RNAcentral.